This 253-nucleotide ribosomal RNA is filed under the name uncultured bacterium. Its description in RNAcentral is "partial 16S ribosomal RNA". It matches the Rfam family "Bacterial small subunit ribosomal RNA", at positions 524 to 776 of the family's 1533-position model. The record is from RNAcentral.
UACAGAGGUCCCGAGCGUUGUUCGGAUUUAUUGGGCGUAAAGGGUGCGUAGGCGGUUUGACAAGUCUGAUGUGAAAUCUAUGGGCUCAACCCAUAGUCUGCAUCGGAAACUGUCGGGCUGGAGUAUGGGAGAGGUGAGUGGAAUUCCUGGUGUAGCGGUGAAAUGCGCAGAUAUCAGGAAGAACACCCGUGGUGAAAGCGGCUCUCUGGAACGGUACUGACGCUGAGACGCGAAAGCGUGGGGAGCGAACAGG